RNAcentral lists this non-coding RNA (25 nucleotides) under Mus musculus (house mouse). The record is from RNAcentral. Lineage: Eukaryota; Metazoa; Chordata; Mammalia; Rodentia; Muridae.
UGAUGGGAGCACAUAGCAUCGGGAG